RNAcentral lists this ribosomal RNA (260 nucleotides) under Terriglobia bacterium. Its description in RNAcentral is "partial 23S ribosomal RNA". It matches the Rfam family "Bacterial large subunit ribosomal RNA", at positions 2674 to 2925 of the family's 2925-position model. The record is from RNAcentral. Lineage: Bacteria; Pseudomonadati; Acidobacteriota; Terriglobia.
GUCCCUAGUACGAGAGGACCGGGAUGGACGGACCCCUUGUGAACGAGUUGUCACGCCAGUGGCAGAGCUCGGUAGCGAAGUCCGGAAAAGAUAAAUGCUGAAUGCAUCUAAGCAUGAAGCUUGCCUCGAGAUAAGGUCUCCCAAGACGGCUGCGGCCGUCUAAGAAGAGCGGUCGAAGACUACGACCUUGAUAGGUGGGAGGUGGAAGUGCAGCAAUGCACGUAGCUGACCCAUACUAAUCGCUCGUUCGGCUUGACCAU